AAGUCUGAAAUAUGUAGUGAAUAAACAUAUAGAAAUUAUCAAAUAUAAUUCAUACGAGCCCACACAAAAGAAACAAUAAUCAAAAUCAAACUUAGCUCAUCCCUACACUACUUAUUGCAAAGCAAUUCCACUCCUCAAUGAAACAAUUUCUCAGACCAAAUUCAAAGCGCUAAACUCAAGUAAAAAGGAAGGGGGACAUCCAUAGGUCCAAAAUAUGCAACUAAAGAAGUCUUUUAAGAUAAAUUAUAGCAAAAAUAAUAAAGCUUAAGAUUUUUAUCAGGGAUGGGCAGUAGACCGGGAGCUAAGAAAUAAAGAUUGUUUCAAUUGAUGUCAUUGUUGUCGAAGUCAUCUUCAAAGCAAAUGAAGAAGUCAACAUUGGUGAGCUUCGAAUCUUCCUCCUCUUGAACUUGACUUGCAAAGUAGCUGGAUUAUUCAGGAUCACUUGCCUUGUACUUCAGCUACUCAAAACUUAUGAGGAUUAGUUAUUUUAAAUAUUAAGAAAAGCCU
This is a long non-coding RNA of Ipomoea nil (Japanese morning glory), 507 nucleotides long. RefSeq lists it as uncharacterized. The transcript has 3 exons. The record is from RefSeq and is a predicted model, not a curated record. NCBI's taxonomy places the organism in Eukaryota, Viridiplantae, Streptophyta, Magnoliopsida, Solanales, Convolvulaceae.